Acanthosepion pharaonis is the source of this 113-nucleotide non-coding RNA. Lineage: Eukaryota; Metazoa; Mollusca; Cephalopoda; Sepiida; Sepiidae. The record is from the annotation of a GenBank genome assembly.
UGCGGCAGUAUUACGUUGAAACACCAAUUCCUGUACGAUCACUGAAGUUAAGCCAAGUCAAGCUUGGUCAGUACCUAGAUGGGUGACCGCUUGAGAAUACCACGUGCUGUAAG